Molecule: unclassified non-coding RNA, 318 nt
Filed under: uncultured Thelephoraceae
Lineage: Eukaryota; Fungi; Basidiomycota; Agaricomycetes; Thelephorales; Thelephoraceae
Description: sequence contains 5.8S rRNA gene
Source: RNAcentral
GAACGCACCUUGCGCCCUUUGGCCAUUCCGAAGGGCAUGCCUGUUUGAGUAUCAUGAACACCUCAACUCUCAUGGCUUGCCAUGAUGAGCUUGGACUUUGGGGGUCUUGUCGGCCUGCGGUCGGCUCCUCUCAAAUGAAUCAGCUUGCCGGUUUUUGGUGGGCAUCACAGGUGUGAUAACUAUCUACGCUUGUGGUUUUCCACCAGGGUAACCUUCAGCAGUGGAGGUUCACUGGAGCUUACAAAUGUCUCUCCUCUGUGAGGACAGCCCUUUGAAUGUUUGAUCUCAAAUCAGGUAGGACUACCCGCUGAACUUAAG